RNAcentral lists this ribosomal RNA (464 nucleotides) under uncultured bacterium. RNAcentral describes it as "partial 16S ribosomal RNA". It matches the Rfam family "Bacterial small subunit ribosomal RNA", at positions 339 to 795 of the family's 1533-position model. The record is from RNAcentral.
CUACGGGGCGCUGCAGUGAGGAAUUUUGCGCAAUGGGGGAAACCCUGACGCAGCAACGCCGCGUGAGCGAAGAAGGCCCUCGGGUCGUAAAGCUCUGUCAAGUGGGAAAAAAGCCUUUUGAUCAAUACCCAAAAGGUUUGAUGGUACCACUGGAGGAAGCACCGGCUAACUCCGUGCCAGCAGCCGCGGUAAUACGGAGGGUGCAAGCGUUGUUCGGAAUUACUGGGCGUAAAGGGCGUGCAGGCGGUUUGGCAAGUCAGAUGUGAAAGCCCUGGGCUUAACCCGGGAAGUGCAUUUGAAACUGCCUUUCUUGAGUAUGGGAGAGGAGAGUGGAAUUCCCAGUGUAGAGGUGAAAUUCGUAGAUAUUGGGAGGAACACCCGUGGCGAAGGCGACUCUCUGGACCAAUACUGACGCUGAGACGCGAAAGCGUGGGGAGCAAACAGGAUUAGAUACCCUCGUAGUC